This 553-nucleotide ribosomal RNA is filed under the name Psychrobacillus lasiicapitis. RNAcentral's name for it is "bacterial SSU rRNA". It matches the Rfam family "Bacterial small subunit ribosomal RNA", at positions 989 to 1533 of the family's 1533-position model. Lineage: Bacteria; Bacillati; Bacillota; Bacilli; Caryophanales; Bacillaceae. The record is from RNAcentral.
CGCUGACCGCUCUAGAGAUAGAGUUUUCCCUUCGGGGACAGCGGUGACAGGUGGUGCAUGGUUGUCGUCAGCUCGUGUCGUGAGAUGUUGGGUUAAGUCCCGCAACGAGCGCAACCCUUGAUCUUAGUUGCCAGCAUUCAGUUGGGCACUCUAAGGUGACUGCCGGUGAUAAACCGGAGGAAGGUGGGGAUGACGUCAAAUCAUCAUGCCCCUUAUGACCUGGGCUACACACGUGCUACAAUGGACGGUACAGAGGGUCGCAACCCCGCGAGGGUGAGCUAAUCCCAUAAAACCGUUCUCAGUUCGGAUUGUAGGCUGCAACUCGCCUACAUGAAGCCGGAAUCGCUAGUAAUCGUGGAUCAGCAUGCCACGGUGAAUACGUUCCCGGGCCUUGUACACACCGCCCGUCACACCACGAGAGUUUGUAACACCCGAAGUCGGUGGGGUAACCCUUACGGGAGCCAGCCGCCGAAGGUGGGACAGAUGAUUGGGGUGAAGUCGUAACAAGGUAGCCGUAUCGGAAGGUGCGGCUGGAUCACCUCCUUUCUAAGGA